This 354-nucleotide ribosomal RNA is filed under the name uncultured fungus. RNAcentral's name for it is "partial small subunit ribosomal RNA". It matches the Rfam family "Eukaryotic small subunit ribosomal RNA", at positions 30 to 432 of the family's 1831-position model. The record is from RNAcentral. Lineage: Eukaryota; Fungi.
GCUUGUCUCAAAGAUUAAGCCAUGCAUGUCUAAGUAUAAGCAUUAUACAGUGAAACUGCGAAUGGCUCAUUAUAUCAGUUAUAGUUUAUUUGAUAGUCCCUGCUAUUUGGAUAACCGUAGUAAUUCUAGAGCUAAUACAUGCACCAAGCAGCCCUCUGGGCUCUCUGGUGAUUCAUGAUAACUUCUCGAAUCGCAUGGCCUUGCGCCGGCGAUGGUUCAUUCAAAUUUCUUCCCUAUCAACUUUCGAUGUUUGGGUAGUGGCCAAACAUGGUUGCAACGGGUAACGGAGGGUUAGGGCUCGACCCCGGAGAAGGAGCCUGAGAAACGGCUACUACAUCCAAGGAAGGCAGCAGG